AACAACGGAUCUCUUGGUUCUGGCAUCGAUGAAGAACGCAGCGAAAUGCGAUAAGUAAUGUGAAUUGCAGAAUUCAGUGAAUCAUCGAAUCUUUGAACGCACAUUGCGCCCGCCAGUAUUCUGGCGGGCAUGCCUGUCCGAGCGUCAUUUCAACCCUCGAACCCCUCCGGGGGUCCGGCGUUGGGGAUCGGCCCUUUACGGGGCCGGCCCCGAAAUACAGUGGCGGUCUCGCCGCAGCCUCUCCUGCGCAGUAGUUUGCACACUCGCACCGGGAGCGCGGCGCGUCCACGUCCGUAAAACACCCAACUUCUGAAAGGUUGACCUCGGAUCAGGUAGGAAUACCCGCUGAACUUAA
RNAcentral lists this small RNA (355 nucleotides) under uncultured fungus. RNAcentral describes it as "eukaryotic LSU rRNA". The stretch from base 1 to 147 matches the Rfam family "5.8S ribosomal RNA". Lineage: Eukaryota; Fungi. The record is from RNAcentral.